Molecule: ribosomal RNA, 500 nt
Filed under: uncultured bacterium
Lineage: Bacteria
Description: partial 16S ribosomal RNA
Rfam family: Bacterial small subunit ribosomal RNA
Source: RNAcentral
AUUGAACGCUGGCGGCAUGCCUUACACAUGCAAGUCGAACGGCAGCACGGGAGCAAUCCUGGUGGCGAGUGGCGAACGGGUGAGUAAAGUAUCGGAACGUGCCCAGUCGUGGGGGAUAACGUAGCGAAAGUUACGCUAAUACCGCAUACGAUCUACGGAUGAAAGCGGGGGAUCGCAAGACCUCGCGCGAUUGGAGCGGCUGAUAUCAGAUUAGGUAGUUGGUGGGGUAAAGGCUCACAAAGCCGACGAUCUGUAGCGGGUCUGUGAGGACGACCAGCCACACUGGGACUGAGACACGGCCCAGACUCCUACGGGAGGCAGGAGUGGGGAAUUUUGGACAAUGGGCGCAAGCCUGAUCCAGCCAUGCCGCGUGCAGGAUGAAGGCCUUCGGGUUGUAAACUGCUUUUGUACGGAACGAAAAGGUUUGGCCUAAUAAGCUGGACCCAUGACGGUACCGUAAGAAUAAGCACCGGCUAACUACGUGCCAGCAGCCGCCGUAA